RNAcentral lists this unclassified non-coding RNA (346 nucleotides) under soil metagenome. Its description in RNAcentral is "partial contains 5.8S ribosomal RNA, internal transcribed spacer 2, and large subunit ribosomal RNA". The stretch from base 1 to 119 matches the Rfam family "5.8S ribosomal RNA", at positions 35 to 154 of the family's 154-position model. The record is from RNAcentral.
GAUGAAGAACGUAGCGAAAUGCGAUACGUAAUGUGAAUUGCAAAUUCAGUGAAUCAUCGAGUCUUUGAACGCACAUUGCGCCCCCUGGUAUUCCGGGGGGCAUGCCUGUCCGAGCGUCAUUGCUGCCCUCAAGCACGGCUUGUGUGUUGGGCCCCGUCCUCCGAUCCCGGGGGACGGGCCCGAAAGGCAGCGGCGGCACCGCGUCCGGACCUCGAGCGUAUGGGGCUUUGUCACCCGCUCUGUAGGCCCGGCCGGCGCUUGCCGAUCAACCCAAAUUUUUUAUCCAGGUUGACCUCGGAUCAGGUAGGGAUACCCGCUGAACUUAAGCAUAUCAAUAAGCGGAGGA